Molecule: ribosomal RNA, 436 nt
Filed under: uncultured bacterium
Lineage: Bacteria
Description: partial 16S ribosomal RNA
Rfam family: Bacterial small subunit ribosomal RNA
Source: RNAcentral
GCGAAUGCUGGCGGCAGGCUUAACACAUGCAAGUCGAGCGGGCAUCCUUGUGGUGUCAGCGGCAGACGGGUGAGUAACGCGUGGGAACGUGCCCUUCGGUUCGGAAUAACUCAGGGAAACUUGAGCUAAUACCGGAUACGUGCGAGAGCAGAAAGGUUUAUCUGCCGAAGGAUCGGCCCGCGUCUGAUUAGCUAGUUGGUGAGGUUAUGGCUCACCAAGGCGACGAUCAGUAGCUGGUCUGAGAGGAUGAUCAGCCACACUGGGACUGAGACACGGCCCAGACUCCUACGGGAGGCAGCAGUGGGGAAUAUUGGACAAUGGGGGCAACCCUGAUCCAGCCAUGCCGCGUGAGUGAUGACGGCCUUAGGGUUGUAAAGCUCUUUUCUCCGGGACGAUAAUGACGGUACCGGAGGAAUAAGCCCCGGCUAACUUCGUG